GAAAAAAAUCAUGACGCAACCAUUAAAGCAACUAAAAAUUUAAGACAAGUAAGUUCAAAUAAAAGUUAUAAAGACAAAUAGAAUUUCGGAGCCUAACAAGAUUUGACUUUAAUAACUUUGGACAUUCUAGGAUAUAGGGCCUGUUUAGAAGUCAGGUUUUUGGAUAAGUUGUUUACCUACAAGUUUUUUAACAACUUUUGUUAUAGGAACCCCAAAAAAUCUUCUCAAAGUUUUUUACCUACACACUUCAAAAUACCCAAAACACACAAAAAAAAUUUCCUUCUCUUUUUUUCUUCUUCCACCCCUAUCCCAACCCAUACCACCGCCGGUGUCGACCACCACCGCUGUUUUGUCCCCUAUCCUGCGGAGAUGCGCCUGGCUUGUUGAUGGCUGUGGAGAAGGUGCAUGUUGGGGAAAGGGCAAGGGG
This 427-nucleotide long non-coding RNA is filed under the name Coffea arabica (coffee). RNAcentral describes it as "long non-coding RNA (CARA_LNC006382)". Lineage: Eukaryota; Viridiplantae; Streptophyta; Magnoliopsida; Gentianales; Rubiaceae. The record is from RNAcentral.